UAUCUCUGUAGAGUCUGCAUAUCAUAAGCGGAGGAAAAGAAACUAACAAGGAUUCCCCUUAGUAACGGCGAGUGAAGCGGGAAGAGCUCAAAUUUGAAAUCUUCAAGGUUCUACCUUGACGAAUUGUAGUUUAUAAGAAGUGUUUUCGGUUAGUAGGAGUAGUCAAAAGUUCUUUGGAAUAGGACAUCAUAGAGGGUGAGAAUCCCGUAUUUGGAUCAUUCUCUCCUAGCUUUGUGAUACACUUUCAACGAGUCGGAUUGUUUGGGAAUGCAGUCCAAAAUGGGUGGUAAAUUUCAUCUAAAGCUAAAUAUUGGCGAGAGACCGAUAGCGAACAAGUACCGUGAGGGAAAGAUGAAAAGAACUUUGAAAAGAGAGUUAAACAGUACGUGAAAUUGUCAAAAGGGAAGCGUUUGACACCAGUGUUGUUUUUCCGAAAAUCAAUUACGAAUGUUUUGUUUUUGAGGAGUUAUGACUUCAUCGGCUUGCUUCUUUCUUUACGAAACUUUCUUAAUGCACUUUUCGGUUAACAAGUCAACAUCAAUUUCUUUUGUUGUAAAAGGGUAUGAGGAAGGUGGCUUUCUUUUCGGAGAAAGUGUUUAUAGCCUUGUACCUCUGCAAUCGGAGAGAUUGAGGUCUGCAGCGUAGAUCCUUCGGGGUUAGAUACAUUUGUGCUAAGUUAUAGCUUUUCAUAGACAACUUGUUGACUAUGUUUAGUCAUGUAGCUUACUCGUAAGUGCUAUUUUACCUACGCUUAGGAUGUUGAAGACUCUACAGAGAUA
This 779-nucleotide ribosomal RNA is filed under the name uncultured Neocallimastigales. Its description in RNAcentral is "partial large subunit ribosomal RNA". It matches the Rfam family "Eukaryotic large subunit ribosomal RNA", at positions 24 to 634 of the family's 3401-position model. Lineage: Eukaryota; Fungi; Neocallimastigomycota; Neocallimastigomycetes; Neocallimastigales. The record is from RNAcentral.